CACCACAUCCAAGGAAGGCAGCAGGCGCGCAAAUUACCCACUCUCGGCACGAGGAGGUAGUGACGAAAAAUAACGAGACGGAUCUCUUUGAGGCCCGUUAUCGGAAUGAGAACAAUUCAAAUCCUUUAACGAGGAUCUAGCGGAGGGCAAGUCUGGUGCCAGCAGCCGCGGUAAUUCCAGCUCCGCAGGUGUAUAUCUAUGCUGCUGCGUUUAAAAAGCUCGUAGUUGGAUCUGCGUGCUCGGAACUGGUUGGCUCACUGAGUUCAAACUGGUCUCCGGCGCUUUAUUGGCUGGUUUUCCCUUGAUGCUCUUAACCGGGUGUCUUGGGUGGCUAGCACGUUUACUUUGAAAAAAAUUAGAGUGCUCAAUACAGGCGUAAAGCCUUGAAUAGUGGUGCAUGGAAUAAUAGAAUAGGACCUCGGCUCUAUUUUGUUGGUUUUCGGAACGCGAGGUAAUGAUUAAGAGGGACAGACGGGGGCAUUCGUAUUGCGACGUUAGAGGUGAAAUUCUUGGAUCGUCGCAAGACGGACGACUGCGAAAGCAUUUGCCAAGAAUGUUUUCAUUAAUCAAGAACGAAAGUUAGAGGUUCGAAGGCGAUCAGAUACCGCCCUAGUUCUAACCGUAAACGAUGCCAACUAGCGAUUCGCAGGCGUUAAACAACGACCUUGCGGGCAGCUUCCCGGAAACGAAAGUGUUCGGGUUCCGGGGGAAGUAUGGUUGCAAAGCUGAAACUUAAAGGAAUUGACGGAAGGGCACCACCAGGAGUGGAGCCUGCGGCUUAAUUUGACACAACACGGGAAAACUCACCCGGCCCGGACACCGUAAGGAUUGACAGAUUGAGAGCUCUUUCUUGAUUCGGUGGGUGGUGGUGCAUGGCCGUUCUUAGUUGGUGGAGCGAUUUGUCUGGUUUAUUCCGAUAACGAACGAGACUCUGGCCUACUAAAUAGUGGGCGGAUUCUUUCUGUCCGCAACACUUCUUAGAGGGACAAGCGGUGUUCAGCCGCACGAGAUUGAGCAAUAACAGGUCUGUGAUGCCCUUAGAUGUCCGGGGCUGCACGCGCGCUACACUGAAGGAAUCAGCGUGCUUCCUGACCUUGCCCGAAAGGGCUGGGUAACCCGAUGAAAAUCCUUCGUGAUUGGGAUAGGGACUUGCAAUUAUUUCCCUUGAACGAGGAAUUCCCAGUAAGUGUGGGUCAUAAGCUCGCGUUGAUUACGUCCCUGCCCUUUGUACACACCGCCCGUCGCUGCCCGGAACUGAGCCGUUUCGAGAAGAACAGGGACCGUCGUUGAAGGGCCUUAACGGGCUUUUCUCUGAUAGAAACUGUUUUAAUCGCAGUGGCUUGAACCGGGCAAAAGUCGUAACAAGGUU
This 1369-nucleotide ribosomal RNA is filed under the name metagenome. RNAcentral's name for it is "SSU rRNA". It matches the Rfam family "Eukaryotic small subunit ribosomal RNA", at positions 408 to 1801 of the family's 1831-position model. The record is from RNAcentral.